CGUGGAUAAAUAUUUGAUGUUAUAUCUGAAUUUGUAUUUUAAAAUUUUAGAUUUAAUAUAAUAUAUUUUGAAAUAUUAAAAAAAGAAAUAAUUGUUUCGGGUUCGGAUUUUCGGAUUCAGGUUCGGGUUAAGGUUUGGAUUCAGGUUUUGAAUUUUUGGUCGGUUCAGGUUUGGAUAUGAAUUUUUAAAAUCCGUCGGAUUCGGAUUCAGGUUCGGAUUUCGGGUUUGGAGUCGGGUUCGAGUUUGGAUUUUUGAAAAUCAGCUCUGAAUUUGACCCGUUAACA
This 284-nucleotide long non-coding RNA is filed under the name Ananas comosus (pineapple). Its description in RNAcentral is "long non-coding RNA (ACOM_LNC027774)". Lineage: Eukaryota; Viridiplantae; Streptophyta; Magnoliopsida; Poales; Bromeliaceae. The record is from RNAcentral.